This 523-nucleotide ribosomal RNA is filed under the name Alytes cisternasii (Iberian midwife toad). RNAcentral's name for it is "partial 12S ribosomal RNA". It matches the Rfam family "Bacterial small subunit ribosomal RNA", at positions 768 to 1525 of the family's 1533-position model. Lineage: Eukaryota; Metazoa; Chordata; Amphibia; Anura; Alytidae. The record is from RNAcentral.
CAAACUGGGAUUAGAUACCCCACUAUGCCUAGCCUUAAACACUGAUCAAGCUACAUUAUUACAUCCGCCCGGGAACUACGAGCCGCAGCUUAAAACCCAAAGGACUUGGCGGUGCCCCAAACCCACCUAGAGGAGCCUGUUCUAUAAUCGAUACCCCCCGCUUAACCUCACCCCUCCUCGCCAGCAGCCUAUAUACCACCGUCGCCAGCCCACCUCAUGAGAGAAAGCAAGUAGGCACAAUGGUAGCCACCAAAACGUCAGGUCAAGGUGUAGCUCAUGGAGCGGAAAGAAAUGGGCUACACUUUCUACACAGAAGAUACGAAAGACCACUAUGAAACCUGGUCUGAAGGCGGAUUUAGUAGUAAAAAGAUUCAAGAGUGUUCUUUUUAAUCCGGCCCUGGGGCGCGCACACACCGCCCGUCACCCUCCUCAACUAACUAACCCAAAUAAUUAAAAUUAAACCAGUUAACAAGAAGAGGCAAGUCGUAACAUGGUAAGUAUACCGGAAGGUGUGCUUGGAACA